GACGAACGCUGGCGGCGUGCUUAACACAUGCAAGUCGAACGGAAAGGCCCUGCUUUUGUGGGGUGCUCGAGUGGCGAACGGGUGAGUAACACGUGAGUAACCUGCCCUUGACUUUGGGAUAACUUCAGGAAACUGGGGCUAAUACCGGAUAGGAGCUCCUGCUGCAUGGUGGGGGUUGGAAAGUUUCGGCGGUUGGGGAUGGACUCGCGGCUUAUCAGCUCGUUGGUGGGGUAGUGGCUUACCAAGGCUUUGACGGGUAGCCGGCCUGAGAGGGUGACCGGCCACAUUGGGACUGAGAUACGGACCAGACUCCUACGGGAGGCAGAAGUGGGGAAUAUUGCACAAUGGGCGGAAGCCUGAUGCAGCAACGCCGCGUGCGGGAUGACGGCCUUCGGGUUGUAAACCGCUUUCGCCUGUGACGAAGCGUGAGUGACGGUAAUGGGUAAAGAAGCACCGGCUAACUACGUG
RNAcentral lists this ribosomal RNA (468 nucleotides) under uncultured bacterium. Its description in RNAcentral is "partial 16S ribosomal RNA". It matches the Rfam family "Bacterial small subunit ribosomal RNA", at positions 28 to 507 of the family's 1533-position model. The record is from RNAcentral.